ACGCUCUGAAACCGCAAAUCGACGGGCUUCUAAGUCGUGGGUCACAGGUUCGAAUCCUGUAGGGCGUACCA
Molecule: transfer RNA, 71 nt
Filed under: Kluyvera georgiana
Lineage: Bacteria; Pseudomonadati; Pseudomonadota; Gammaproteobacteria; Enterobacterales; Enterobacteriaceae
Description: tRNA-Arg
Source: RNAcentral